AUCUUAGGACCAGUUUCCUCUCUGUAGAAUGUAGCUAAUUUCUAUUCUGUGGUCACAAAGAUCAUCAUAAUAAAAAUAAUCAUAGUUAAUAUGUGUGGUUUACCAACCAUGUUCUAGAAACCAUGUCAAGUGCUUUCUGCAGAUGGUUUCAUUUUUAUUAUAGUAUUGGAACUAUUGUCAACCCCACUUCACAGACUACUAAAUUGAGUGUCUGAGCUGCUAGGUCACAUGUCCAAGGUUAUUCAGCCAGUAAGUAACAGAAUGAGGAUCAGCGUUUGAGAUAGGAAUAUUCUAUUCAAAAUGUACCAUUACAGAGAAACUAGAGUGGUAUCGUCCCAGAUGAGGGUUCAUGCCUGUUUGCUUAUCGAAUGGGUAAAACUACAUUAAAUGCUUUCAUGAGAAUGGGAGACAUUGUUUAAAUUUUCCUGAAAACCCAGAAGAACUCAAAAGUACUCAUCAUCUUGGCCUUACUGGUAUUUGACUAUGAAUACAAUAUAUCCCACAGAAGCAAGUCUAGUAGAGUGGCCUUGGAAAAAGGCUAGGAUUUAGGAGCAUGUUUAGGCAACUCAAGCUUUCUCAGCUUCCAUUUUCUCAUCUGUACUUUCAUAAUUCUGAUUUUUAAAAGCAUCUUUGUUGAAAGUAAAGGUUCAGUGAAACAGAACAGAUGAAGUGUUUCAUAUUUGGUCUGGCAGGCAGUAGUUGCUCAACACGUCUUGUCUAUUAAUGACAACCACAAUGAUAAUAGUGGACUAAUAAUGAAUUGAUAAAAUAUGAUUGCAAAAGUUCAAAUGAGUUUUGAUCUUGCCCCUCUUCUCUGUUUCAGAGGCUGUAUGGUUUUUAUGUUCUACAUUGUAUGGUUUAAUGUUGGCAGGUGAGGGAUUUUGAUAGACACAUGAUAAAAUCAGAAGCCCCAAGACUUGUAUUUUCAUCACAGAAAUGUAUUACUUCCUUGUGUUGUGACCUGGAGCAAGUUACUUUGUGGACCUGCCUGCACAGCACUUGUACCAGUUAAUCCUUUACAUUAACUUGAGUGACAGAUAUGUUAGUG
This 1048-nucleotide long non-coding RNA is filed under the name Callithrix jacchus (white-tufted-ear marmoset). RNAcentral's name for it is "lncRNA (ENSCJAG00000081092.1)". The record is from RNAcentral. Lineage: Eukaryota; Metazoa; Chordata; Mammalia; Primates; Cebidae.